This 119-nucleotide ribosomal RNA is filed under the name Sorghum bicolor (sorghum). The record is from RNAcentral. Lineage: Eukaryota; Viridiplantae; Streptophyta; Magnoliopsida; Poales; Poaceae.
GGAUGCGAUCAUACCAGCACUAAAGCUCCGGAUCCCAUCAGAACUCCGAAGUUAAGCGUUCUUGGGCGAGAGUAGUACUAGGAUGGGUGACCUCCUGGGAAGUCCUCGUGUUGCAUUCC